UGGGGAAUUUUGGACAAUGGGCGCAAGCCUGAUCCAGCCAUGCCGCGUGAGUGAAGAAGGCCUUCGGGUUGUAAAGCUCUUUCAGCCGGGAAGAAAACGCAUGGGUUAAUACCCUGUGUGGAUGACGGUACCGGAAUAAGAAGCACCGGCUAACUACUUGCCAGCAGCCGCGGUAAUACGUAGGGUGCGAGCGUUAAUCGGAAUUACUGGGCGUAAAGCGUGCGCAGGCGGUUUGUUAAGAUAGGCGUGAAAUCCCCGGGCUCGACAUGGGAGCAGCGUUUAUGAAUGGCAGGCACGAGUAUGGAAGAGGGGGGUGGAGUUCCACGUGUAGCAGUGAAAUGCGUAGAGAUGUGGAGGAACACAGCUGGCGAAGGCAGCCCCCUGGGCCAAUACUGACGCUCAUGCACGAAAGAGUGGGUAGCAAACAG
RNAcentral lists this ribosomal RNA (428 nucleotides) under uncultured bacterium. RNAcentral's name for it is "bacterial SSU rRNA". It matches the Rfam family "Bacterial small subunit ribosomal RNA", at positions 355 to 775 of the family's 1533-position model. The record is from RNAcentral.